RNAcentral lists this ribosomal RNA (509 nucleotides) under uncultured bacterium. RNAcentral describes it as "partial 16S ribosomal RNA". It matches the Rfam family "Bacterial small subunit ribosomal RNA", at positions 28 to 507 of the family's 1533-position model. The record is from RNAcentral.
GACGAACGCUGGCGGUGUGCUUAACACAUGCAAGUCGAACGAAGAGCGAUGGAAGCUUGCUUCUAUCAAUCUUGUGGGCAACCGGUGAGGAAAGGGUAAAUAAACUUCCCCUUCGGGGGGGGAAAAAGGUGGAAAACAACUGCUAAUACGGCAUAGAACCCAAUCCGGGCAUCGGGACGGGAGGAAGGGGGCCCUCUUUUAAUAAGCAACAAUUGAGGAGGGGGAUUGGUCUGAUUAGCUAGUUGGAGGGGUAACGGCCCACCAAGGCGAUGAUCAGUAGCCGGUCUGAGAGGAUGAACGGCCACAUUGGGACUGAGACACGGCCCAGACUCCUACGGGAGGCAGCAGUGGGGAAUCUUCCGCAAUGGACGAAAGUCUGACGGAGCAACGCCGCGUGAGUGAUGACGGCCUUCGGGUUGUAAAGCUCUGUUAAUCGGGACGAAUGGUUCUUGUGCGAAUAGUGCGAGGAUUUGACGGUACCGGAAUAGAAAGCCACGGCUAACUACGUG